GGACCAGAAGGUAUUGAGAGAGUGUUAGGGUUUAGGAAUAGAUUAGAGGGGUUAGGAAAGGGAAUUGAACAGUUUACAAUAUAUUGAACAAGCAGGAAUGAACAUAUAAGCUUAACAUGAGAAGUAGUGAUAUAAAGCAUACCAUAGUUCUGAAUACAAGUGAUUAGUUACACGUUCUAAUAUACUUGCACACCUGAAACAGUUCUAUAUUGAUUUUACUUAUGAUUUGUUCAAUAAGAAAAGAAUGUUUAAUCAAAACCCCUGAUUCAUAAGAUAUAUGACCCUUUGGGGUGGCAGCUCCUGGUAUGUGGGAGUUGAAUUGGUAUUAAUACCUGGUGGCAGCGAAAAAAGGCGAGUUUACCUUUGUGGAGUCCAAAGAAAUAAGGGGCGCAAAGGGGCAUCACCACAGCAUGCAUCUCUCUUUUUGCUUCUCUUGCAGGCUGCUGUCCCAAACACACUUACCAGAGUCCCCACUGAACACAAUGGACUGCACCUCUUGUGCUGUCAUUGUUUGAACUACUUCAGGCUGCAAUCGUACACCAUUUAUGAGGACAGAGGUGGAAGGAGAAGCCAGCUGCAAGCAGGACUGAGGAAUGGAGAAAGAUAGCAAAGGCUUAUUCAGUAUUGUGACUACUACCAACACUAACACCAUCAAAGACUCUUCUACAGAACAUUGACUUUAUUAAGACCUCCUAGAUCUAAGAGUGCAAUGGGAAAAUGUAAUGGCAGUUAGUCCUAACCCCCUGUAAUAAAGUUCCUACUGUGCUAUGUUUCCA
Molecule: long non-coding RNA, 776 nt
Filed under: Pogona vitticeps (central bearded dragon)
Lineage: Eukaryota; Metazoa; Chordata; Lepidosauria; Squamata; Agamidae
Description: lncRNA (ENSPVIG00000009745.1)
Source: RNAcentral